Molecule: ribosomal RNA, 253 nt
Filed under: uncultured bacterium
Lineage: Bacteria
Description: partial 16S ribosomal RNA
Rfam family: Bacterial small subunit ribosomal RNA
Source: RNAcentral
UACGAAGGGGGCUAGCGUUGCUCGGAAUCACUGGGCGUAAAGCGCACGUAGGCGGGUCGUUAAGUCGGGGGUGAAAUCCUGGAGCUCAACUCCAGAACUGCCUUCGAUACUGGCGACCUUGAGUCCGGGAGAGGUGAGUGGAACUCCGAGUGUAGAGGUGAAAUUCGUAGAUAUUCGGAAGAACACCAGCGGCGAAGGCGGCUCACUGGCCCGGUACUGACGCUGAGGUGCGAAAGCGUGGGGAGCAAACAGG